CAUUUUCUUUGUUUUGUUAUUUGUAGUUUUACAAACAUGUUGUUCAGAGUUUGGAAAAGUUUAUUCAAAAGGUAAUACAACUUCUAAGUUGACUUGGGGAUCACUUUUCAAUAUACAGUACUUAGAACCCCCGCUGACACGAACUCCCAAGGCUAUGACAUUCGAAUUUUUGUUUUAGUGUCGUCCCGAAUAUAAAAUUCCGGCGUUGUAUGUGAUCGACUCGAUAAUCAGACAAUCCCGGCAUCAGGUAACUACUAGUGAAUUAUUUUAUCAAUUAAGUUGUCUUGCACAUGCAAUAAAUAGAUGCUUGUAUAACAGUAUUUAAUAGGGC
Paramuricea clavata is the source of this 331-nucleotide non-coding RNA. NCBI's taxonomy places the organism in Eukaryota, Metazoa, Cnidaria, Anthozoa, Malacalcyonacea, Plexauridae. The record is from the annotation of a GenBank genome assembly.